GGUCCCUUAGCUCAGCCGGUUAGAGCGUCUGACUCAUAAUCAGAGGGUCGUAGGUUCAAGUCCUACAGGGACCA
RNAcentral lists this transfer RNA (74 nucleotides) under Lewinella sp. RNAcentral describes it as "tRNA-Ile". It matches the Rfam family "tRNA". Rfam says of the family: Transfer RNA (tRNA) molecules are approximately 80 nucleotides in length. Their secondary structure includes four short double-helical elements and three loops (D, anti-codon, and T loops). The record is from RNAcentral. Lineage: Bacteria; Pseudomonadati; Bacteroidota; Saprospiria; Saprospirales; Lewinellaceae. RNAcentral also lists the same sequence under 2 other names.